UGUCUGCGAAGUCCCCAUAGCACAGUGAAACACAAUCUGCCUGGAUAGAGAUCACACACAUACAGACACAGACACACACACACAGACACAGACACACACAGACAUAAAGGCACACAGAACCCCACCCAGACAGACACACACACACAGACACAGACACACACACACAAACACACAUACAAACACAGACACACACACAAACACACACUCACAAACACAGACACACACACACAAACACACAUACAAACACACACACACUCACAAACACAGAUACACACACACAAACACACAUACACAGAGACACACACACAGACACACGCAGACACACACACAGACACAGACACACAGACACACAGACACAGACACACACACACAGACAUAAAGGCACACAGAACCCCACCCAGACAGACAGACACACACAAACACAGACACACAGACACACACACAGACACACACACACAAACACACACACACAGACACACACACAAACACACACACACUCACAAACACAGACACACACACACAAACACACACACAAACACACAUACAAACACACACACACUCACAAACACAGACACACACACACAAACACACAUACACAGAGACACACACACACAGACACACACAGACACACACACAGACACACACACAGACACACACAGACAUAAAGGCACACAGAACCCCCCCAGACAGACACACACAUACAAACACAGACACAGACACACACACUCACAAACACACAUACAAACACAGACACACACACACAGACACACAGACACACACACAACACACACAAACACACAGACACACACAUACAAACACAGACACACACACACAAACACACAUACACAGAGACACACACACACAAACACACAUACAAACACAGACACACAGACACACACAUACAAACACACACACACACACACAGAUACACAGAACCCCCCCAGACAGACACACAUAUACAAACACAGGCACACAGGACCCCCCAGACACAAACACACACAUGGACACAC
RNAcentral lists this long non-coding RNA (1010 nucleotides) under Bos indicus x Bos taurus (hybrid cattle). RNAcentral describes it as "lncRNA (ENSBIXG00000000166.1)". The record is from RNAcentral. Lineage: Eukaryota; Metazoa; Chordata; Mammalia; Artiodactyla; Bovidae.